GGAAUAUUGGACAAUGGGCGCAAGCCUGAUCCAGCCAUGCCGCGUGCAGGAUGACGGUCCUAUGGAUUGUAAACUGCUUUUGUACGGGAAGAAACACUCCUUCGUGAAGGAGCUUGACGGUACCGUAAGAAUAAGGAUCGGCUAACUCCGUUCCAGCAGCCGCGGUAAUACGGAGGAUCCAAGCGUUAUCCGGAAUCAUUGGGUUUAAAGGGUCCGUAGGCGGUUUUGUAAGUCAGUGGUGAAAUCCGGCAGCUCAACUGUCGCACUGCCAUUGAUACUGCAGGACUUGAAUUAUUGUGAAGUAACUAGAAUAUGUAGUGUAGCGGUGAAAUGCUUAGAUAUUACAUGGAAUACCCAUUGCGAAGGCAGGUUACUAACAAUACAUUGACGCUGAUGGACGAAAGCGUGGGGAGCGA
RNAcentral lists this ribosomal RNA (416 nucleotides) under uncultured bacterium. RNAcentral's name for it is "bacterial SSU rRNA". It matches the Rfam family "Bacterial small subunit ribosomal RNA", at positions 358 to 771 of the family's 1533-position model. The record is from RNAcentral.